RNAcentral lists this ribosomal RNA (253 nucleotides) under uncultured bacterium. Its description in RNAcentral is "partial 16S ribosomal RNA". It matches the Rfam family "Bacterial small subunit ribosomal RNA", at positions 524 to 776 of the family's 1533-position model. The record is from RNAcentral.
UACGUAGGGUGCGAGCGUUAAUCGGAAUUACUGGGCGUAAAGCGUGCGCAGGCGGUUUUGCAAGACAGAUGUGAAAUCCCCGGGCUUAACCUGGGAACUGCAUUUGUGACUGCAAGGCUAGAGUGUGUCAGAGGGAGGUGGAAUUCCGCGUGCAGCAGUGAAAUGCGUAGAGAUGCGGAGGAACACCGAUGGCGAAGGCAGCCUCCUGGGAUAACACUGACGCUCAUGCACGAAAGCGUGGGGAGCAAACAGG